Long non-coding RNA from Poecilia latipinna (sailfin molly), 100 nucleotides. RefSeq lists it as uncharacterized. The transcript is spliced from 3 exons. The record is from RefSeq and is a predicted model, not a curated record. NCBI's taxonomy places the organism in Eukaryota, Metazoa, Chordata, Actinopteri, Cyprinodontiformes, Poeciliidae.
GCCACAACAGCUAACACUGUAGUGGCUAAGUUUUGGCUACAGUCCGCUGUCGCCUUGAUAUCAGCAGGAAAAUGAAAAAACUGAGCACCGGAUGGUACCG